This 288-nucleotide unclassified non-coding RNA is filed under the name Hevea brasiliensis (rubber tree). The record is from RNAcentral. Lineage: Eukaryota; Viridiplantae; Streptophyta; Magnoliopsida; Malpighiales; Euphorbiaceae.
ACGGGAUUUCUGUAAUGUACAAUCAAAACAUACUGCAAAUCAUCUUGUACCCACCAUAAUGCACAAUAGCUAAGAAAUCUUCCCUCAUGCUGCGUAAGUUUUAACUUCUUCCCUCAUGAAGAAUUUCCAUUUUUAGCACACCUUGGUUUGGCCAAUUUAACAUGCUUUCUCUCUCCAUACAGAUUAUGAAGUUUUUCAUACUCAGCAUCAGAUGUAACGGAACCAAAACCAAGCAUACCAGAAAAAAGAUUAGCUUACAUCAAGGACGCCCUUUUUGGUCGAAUUUUC